UGCGGCUGGAUCCCCUCCUUUCUAAGGAGCCAUCCCUGUCGUAAGACAGAGGCAUCCUAUGGUCAAUCGUUCACCUCGCUUCGGCAAGGCGAACGUAUCGUCCGCAAACCAUCAAGUCUGCUAUUUAGUUUUGAGAGACCCGGGCCUCUCGGUUGCGAGAGGUCCUGUUCUUUGACAGAUCGAAAAGCGCGAGCUUGUGGGCUAGUAGCCCAGGUGGCUAGAGCACACGACUGAUAAUCGUGAGGUCGAAGGUUCAAGUCCUUCCUGGCCCACCAGAUUUCUCGGGGGUGUAGCUCAGCUGGGAGAGCGCCUGCCUUGCAAGCAGGAGGCCAUCGGUUCGAUCCCGUUCACCUCCACCAGUUAUUGGUGAGGGCGGGGCGCCGACCCCACCUCGUACGCUCGUUUUUCGCUCUUUGACAAUUGCAUAGGACAAUGAUGAUGCACAGCAGGCAUGCGCAAUGCCUGCACAGGCAAAUUUACUGUAGAUCGCAACGAAGUAGUUAACGACUUUUUUAUGGUCAAGCUACUAAGGGCGCACGGUGGAUGCCUUGGCAUCGGGAGGCGAUGAAGGACGUGGUAAGCUGCGAUAAGCUUCGGCGAGCCGCUAAACAGGCUUUGACCCGGAGAUUUCCGAAUGGGGAAACCCGG
Molecule: unclassified non-coding RNA, 648 nt
Filed under: uncultured bacterium
Lineage: Bacteria
Description: partial contains 16S ribosomal RNA, 16S-23S ribosomal RNA intergenic spacer, and 23S ribosomal RNA
Rfam family: Bacterial large subunit ribosomal RNA (bases 517-648)
Source: RNAcentral